AACGAACGCUGGCGGCAUGCCUAACACAUGCAAGUCGAACGAGACCUUCGGGUCUAGUGGCGCACGGGUGCGUAACGCGUGGGAACCUGCCCUUAGGUUCGGAAUAACUCCCCGAAAGGGGUGCUAAUACCGGAUAAUGUUUUCGGACCAAAGAUUUAUCGCCUUGGAUGGGCCCGCGUUGGAUUAGCUAGUUGGUAGGGUAAAAGCCUACCAAGGCGACGAUCCAUAGCUGGUCUGAGAGGAUGAUCAGCCACACUGGGACUGAGACACGGCCCAGACUCCUACGGGAGGCAGCAGUGGGGAAUAUUGGACAAUGGGCGAAAGCCUGAUCCAGCAAUGCCGCGUGAGUGAUGAAGGCCUUAGGGUUGUAAAGCUCUUUUACCCGGGAUGAUAAUGACAGUACCGGGAGAAUAAGCUCCGGCUAACUCCGUG
RNAcentral lists this ribosomal RNA (432 nucleotides) under uncultured bacterium. Its description in RNAcentral is "partial 16S ribosomal RNA". It matches the Rfam family "Bacterial small subunit ribosomal RNA", at positions 29 to 507 of the family's 1533-position model. The record is from RNAcentral.